CUUCCUCGCCGCUUCUCUUUUCUGAUGGCACUUUUUUUUUAAUCCCGAUUCGUCAUAUUGUUGUAUAAUUAACAAACUAUUGUGGUUUUGCAGGUAUUCUCGAAAUCGUUAGCGCUGCAAAUGCUAUGUGAAUGGGAUGGCCAAUAGAUAUUCACAUGAAAAGUUAUUUUAAUAGGAUUUCUAAUAGAUUUUCGCAUGGAAGAAAUUGGUUUGGUAAUCUCCUUCUCUUCAAAAUCUUGGCAUAUGUACCGGAACCCAAUUUUCUCUCUAAAUAAACGACUCACGGAAUCGCAUAGUUGAGGGAAAGAGAGAAACCGACAUGGAAAGGUUUUCUAUAUAAUAUGAAUGGCGAUAAAGCAAGUUGAAUGUCCACCAAAGGAGGCAAGGCAUUUAAAAGGUUUUGUGUUCUAAUACGUAGAGUCUGUUGCAAUGCGCUAUUUCCUAUUCCCUCUUAAUGAUUGUCGUGGCGUGGAGAAAUUGCGUAGGGAUGGUGAAAUCAGAUUAUACAAGACUCCGUACAUGGAUGAGGUCCUGUGGGAUAUGGCGUGUGGAUUGUGGCUUCGCGUGGUACAUGGACAGUCCUUUAGUUACUGACUCUCAUGAGCAAUAUGCGACCCAGAAACGUGAAAUAUUGUACUGUUUUCACAUUCCUUUAGUUACAGAUCUCAUGCAUAUAAGCAGAUGUUGGAGUUUAGAAAAUCUUUUCUGGUGCAUAUAAGGAGAGAACAUACUGCUCAAUGCAGUUGCUCGGAAUCAUGUUUUACUUUGUAGCUGAUGUAUAAUGCAUGUAUAUUAGCAAUUUUUUUAGAGAAGAAACUUCUCGAUUUUUUUUCUUUUUUGAAGCAUAUUUCUUUUUGUUGUGCA
Papaver somniferum (opium poppy) is the source of this 864-nucleotide long non-coding RNA. RefSeq lists it as uncharacterized. The transcript is spliced from 5 exons. The record is from RefSeq and is a predicted model, not a curated record. Lineage: Eukaryota; Viridiplantae; Streptophyta; Magnoliopsida; Ranunculales; Papaveraceae.